UACGGAGGGUGCGAGCGUUAAUCGGAAUUACUGGGCGUAAAGCGCGCGUAGGCGGCUGGGUAAGCCGGUUGUGAAAGCCCCGGGCUUAACCUGGGAACGGCAUCCGGGACUGUAAGGCUAGAGUGUAGGAGAGGGAGGUAGAAUUCCCGGUGUAGCGGUGAAAUGCGUAGAGAUCGGGAGGAAUACCGGUGGCGAAGGCGGCCUUCUGGACUGAUACUGACACUGAGGUGCGAAAGCGUGGGUAGCAAACAGG
This 253-nucleotide unclassified non-coding RNA is filed under the name uncultured Halomonadaceae bacterium. RNAcentral describes it as "contains 16S-23S intergenic spacer region". It matches the Rfam family "Bacterial small subunit ribosomal RNA", at positions 524 to 776 of the family's 1533-position model. The record is from RNAcentral. Lineage: Bacteria; Pseudomonadati; Pseudomonadota; Gammaproteobacteria; Oceanospirillales; Halomonadaceae.